RNAcentral lists this long non-coding RNA (286 nucleotides) under Fukomys damarensis (Damara mole-rat). RNAcentral describes it as "lncRNA (ENSFDAG00000029445.1)". The record is from RNAcentral. Lineage: Eukaryota; Metazoa; Chordata; Mammalia; Rodentia; Bathyergidae.
CUGGGUACCAAAGGUGGCCAGGCAAAUGCCAGCCUAUUGUGCGGAAUCCAGAGGUGGCACAGCUGUUUAAGGCCUCUGGGCUCCCACAUCCUCCUGAGAUUUCCCAUUCUAGAUUUGCUUAUCCAGGAUGCAACUAUGGAUUUGCAUAUUCGAGCCCCCAGGACAGAGAGCAGGUCUUCUUGGCACAAUCGGCCUCUAAUAGCGCGCACAAAUUCGUUAACGGUAGAAGACAUUGCCAUCCAUCUCCUCCGUGCUUUGAGCACGUUCAUCCACUAGUACUUCCGCC